UACGGAGGGUGCAGGCGUUAAUCGGAAUUACUGGGCGUAAAGCGCACGUAGGUGGUUUGUUAAGCUAGCUGUGAAAUCCCCGGGCUCAACCUGGGCACUGCAGUUAGAACUGGCAAGCUAGAGUAGGGUAGAGGGGUGUGGAAUUCCAGGUGUAGCGGUGAAAUGCGUAGAUAUCUGGAGGAACACCGGUGGCGAAGGCGGCAUCCUGGACCGGCAUUGACGCUGAGGCGCGAAAGCCAGGGGAGCAAACGGG
This 253-nucleotide ribosomal RNA is filed under the name uncultured bacterium. Its description in RNAcentral is "partial 16S ribosomal RNA". It matches the Rfam family "Bacterial small subunit ribosomal RNA", at positions 524 to 776 of the family's 1533-position model. The record is from RNAcentral.